AGGGGAUGGGCUCGCGGCUUAUCAGCUUGUUGGUGAGGUAAUGGCUCACCAAGGCUUNGACGGGUAGCCGGCCUGAGAGGGUGACCGGCCACANUGGGACUGAGAUACGGCCCAGACUCCUACGGGAGGCAGCAGUGGGGAAUAUUGCACAAUGGGCGGAAGCCUGAUGCAGCAACGCCGCGUGNGGGAUGACGGCCUUCGGGUUGUAAACCGCUUUCGCAUGUGACGAAGCGUGAGUGACGGUAAUGGGUAAAGAAGCACCGGCUAACUAC
Molecule: ribosomal RNA, 272 nt
Filed under: uncultured bacterium
Lineage: Bacteria
Description: partial 16S ribosomal RNA
Rfam family: Bacterial small subunit ribosomal RNA
Source: RNAcentral